RNAcentral lists this ribosomal RNA (253 nucleotides) under uncultured bacterium. Its description in RNAcentral is "partial 16S ribosomal RNA". It matches the Rfam family "Bacterial small subunit ribosomal RNA", at positions 524 to 776 of the family's 1533-position model. The record is from RNAcentral.
UACGUAGGCAGCAAGCGUUGUUCGGAAUUACUGGGCGUAAAGAGUGUGUAGGCGGUGCUCUAAGUUCGGUGUGAAAUCCCCCGGCUUAACUGGGAGGGUGCGCCGGAAACUGGAGUGCUCGAGCGUGGGAGAGGAAAGCGGAAUUCCUGGUGUAGCGGUGAAAUGCGUAGAUAUCAGGAGGAACACCUGCGGUGUAGACGGCUUUCUGGACCAUUGCUGACGCUGAGACACGAAAGCGUGGGUAGCAAACAGG